This 539-nucleotide ribosomal RNA is filed under the name uncultured bacterium. Its description in RNAcentral is "bacterial SSU rRNA". It matches the Rfam family "Bacterial small subunit ribosomal RNA", at positions 356 to 896 of the family's 1533-position model. The record is from RNAcentral.
GAGGAAUAUUGGUCAAUGGGCGAGAGCCUGAACCAGCCAAGUAGCGUGCAGGAUGACGGCCCUAUGGGUUGUAAACUGCUUUUGUAUGGGGAUAAAGUCAAUCACGUGUGAUUGUUUGCAGGUACCAUACGAAUAAGGACCGGCUAAUUCCGUGCCAGCAGCCGCGGUAAUACGGAAGGUCCGGGCGUUAUCCGGAUUUAUUGGGUUUAAAGGGAGCGUAGGCUGGAGAUUAAGUGUGUUGUGAAAUGUAGACGCUCAACGUCUGACUUGCAGCGCAUACUGGUUUCCUUGAGUACGCACAACGUUGGCGGAAUUCGUCGUGUAGCGGUGAAAUGCUUAGAUAUGACGAAGAACUCCGAUUGCGAAGGCAGCUGACGGGAGCGCAACUGACGCUGAAGCUCGAAGGUGCGGGUAUCGAACAGGAUUAGAUACCCUGGUAGUCCGCACAGUAAACGAUGGAUGCCCGCUGUUGGUACCUGGUAUCAGCGGCUAAGCGAAAGCAUUAAGCAUCCCACCUGGGGAGUACGCCGGCUACGGUG